This 440-nucleotide ribosomal RNA is filed under the name uncultured bacterium. RNAcentral describes it as "partial 16S ribosomal RNA". It matches the Rfam family "Bacterial small subunit ribosomal RNA", at positions 338 to 795 of the family's 1533-position model. The record is from RNAcentral.
CCUACGGGAGGCAGCAGUGGGGGAUAUUGCACAAUGGGCGGAACCCUGAUGCAGCGACGCCGCGUGGGGGAAUAAGCCCCUCGGCGCGUAAAGCCCUGUUAGCAGGGAAGAAAAUGACGGUACCUGACGAAUAAGACACGGCUAACUACGUGCCAGCAGCCGCGGUAAUACGUAGGGGGCAAGCUUUAUCCGGAUUUACUGGGUGUAAAGGGGGCGCAGGCGGGGUUGCAAGCCAGGUGUGAAAGCUAUGGGCCCAACCCACAGCCUGCCGUUGAAACUGCGUGGCUUGAGUGUUGGAGGGGCAGGCGGAAGGCCUGGUGUAGCGGUGAAAUGCGUAGAUAUCAGGAGGAACACCGGUGGCGAAGGCGGCCUGCUGGACAGCAACUGACGUUGAGGCCCGAAAGCGUGGGGAGCAAACAGGAUUAGAUACCCUGGUAGUC